AGUGAACGCUGGCGGUAGGCCUAACACAUGCAAGUCGAACGGCAGCACAGUAAGAGCUUGCUCUUACGGGUGGCGAGUGGCGGACGGGUGAGGAAUACAUCGGAAUCUACUUUUUCGUGGGGGUUAACGUAGGGAAACUUACGCUAUUACCGCAUACGACCUACGGGUGAAAGCAGGGGAUCUUCGGACCUUGCGCGAUUGAAUGAGCCGAUGUCGGAUUAGCUAGUUGGCGGGGUAAAGGCCCACCAAGGCGACGAUCCGUAGCUGGUCUGAGAGGAUGAUCAGCCACACUGGAACUGAGACACGGUCCAGACUCCUACGGGAGGCAGCAGUGGGGAAUAUUGGACAAUGGGCGCAAGCCUGAUCCAGCCAUACCGCGUGGGUGAAGAAGGCCUUCGGGUUGUAAAGCCCUUUUGUUGGGAAAGAAAAGCAGCAGGUUAAUACCCCGCUGUUCUGACGGUACCCAAAGAAUAAGCACCGGCUAACUUCGUG
This 492-nucleotide ribosomal RNA is filed under the name uncultured bacterium. RNAcentral's name for it is "partial 16S ribosomal RNA". It matches the Rfam family "Bacterial small subunit ribosomal RNA", at positions 29 to 507 of the family's 1533-position model. The record is from RNAcentral.